GUCUGUCUUUGUUUUUAAGAAAUCAUGUAAAUGCAUUGACCAAUCAGAGAGGCUGACAGAUAUUCCAGAUGGCUGCUGCUUGAUGGAGUCAUGUUUCACAGCUCGUCUUCUGCAUGUGUUUGAGUCUCACUCUGACCGGCUGAAACACUGUUACCAUUCAGCUGAAGCCACACAAGAGCUUAACAUAUCGACAUCGGCCGAGUGUGUUUGACUCCAGGAAGAAAACCAGAUUGCUUUGGAGAAAGUUUGCAGAUUUCCAGAAGCCCGUCCUGGCGGUUUCUUGUGUUGAGGGGACAGAGGAAUGGCCAUACCGACCAUGACUGACUCCAGCAGGCUUACUGAGGUGUCCACACGGCCUUAUCUGGAUGCACGGACCUCAACGUCAGACACGGAGUGUGGAGAGGAGCCUGAUCUCCAGCCAAGAGCUCUGGAGGAACCUCAGGCAGUGGGUGCAGAAGACACUGGAACAUCAGACAUCAUCGUGUCGAGGGGUGAGGAAUAUCAAAUGUCUGACUUUACAAGUAAAGAAGACAACAACAUCCAGUCGAGCAUCAGCAGCAGGUCAGAUGCAGAAAGAGAGAAGAAAUCUACUGCUUGCUGCUUCAGAAAACGUCACAGGAAACACCGAACAGAGAUUACAGACACGAGGAAAACAAGGGAGACGUGUAGAAAAGACAGCGCAAGAAUGAAAAGAAAUUCUCCAGUGGUUUCAGACCAGAAGACCAGCGGCUCCUCAAGAUGCCUCAAAGAUCAAGACGUGUUCUCAUCCCGACCUCAGCAGGUCACUCCAGAUCUCCAUCUGUGGAAAUAUCCUCAAGAUGCUGGUGUUUCCCGUCUCUGCCUUCACAAGCUGGAGGUCGACGUUCCUUCGACCUUUGAGUCUCGCAGUUUGGAACCAAACCUCGACUCUGAGUUUGCAUAUAUUUACGCUGAAAGCAUCAAAGGAUGCGACUCUUCCUGUUGCACUACUCCAGGAGACUGUAAUACCCACAAUCCCUUUGUCAAAACUGAACGAGAGGCUGAAUCUGUCUGGAACAGCUUUGAGGAAGAAUCUGAAGACUCCGAUUGGGAUUUAUACAUGUCUGCGCACAGUACAGUGGCUACUGCAGGUUCCAGAUUGAACGCUGAGCGCUUUGGGUCUUUAGAUGACUUUGACUUGACUUGUAUUUAUACAGACUGGGAAAGGAGAGCCGACAGUGCAGAAACCGAGCAGGGUUACAGUCCCGCCAAAGCGGAGUGGGGCUCCGAGAGUUCAUGUUCCACCGCUGACAGACAAACCAGCAGCUCGGAUUCAGACGGCUGCCGUUUAGAGGCUCUCGGUGACAUCAAAUGUCCAGACGGAUGGCCUGAAGUGUUUCUGCCAGGAUUUGAGGGCUGCUUUGACUGCUGGGAUGUAGUUGAAGACGUCUGCAGAGGCACAGAGAGCGAUUCUGAGGAUACAGGUGAACUGUGGGGUGUCGUGACUCAAAUGGACCGCCGGCAUUUCUCUGAUUUUUUCUGUGAAAUGAUUAAAGAAGUGAUGCAGGAGAAAGACACAGAGAAAAUGAAUGUAAAUGAGGGGUUUCUGUUCCACCCUAAGCAGUUCCUCCAGGUGAAGAACUCCGAAUAUCGAGAGGGUCGUGAAUAUUCAUUUCUCCGUCACAUUCAAAACGGUUCAUAUGGAGACGUCUUCAGCAUUCGGGACAAACAAACAGGAUUUACAUGUGCCGCCAAAAA
This 1716-nucleotide long non-coding RNA is filed under the name Sinocyclocheilus anshuiensis. RNAcentral's name for it is "lncRNA (ENSSANG00000045140.1)". Lineage: Eukaryota; Metazoa; Chordata; Actinopteri; Cypriniformes; Cyprinidae. The record is from RNAcentral.